GAUGAACGCUGGCGGCGUGCCUAAUACAUGCAAGUCGAGCGAACGGACGAGAAGCUUGCUCCUCUGAUGUUAGCGGCGGACGGGUGAGUAACACGUGGAUAACCUACCUAUAAGACUGGGAUAACUUCGGGAAACCGGAGCUAAUACCGGAUAAUAUUUUGAACCGCAUGGUUCAAAAGUGAAAGACGGUCUUGCUGUCACUUAUAGAUUGAUCCGCGCUGCAUUAGCUAGUUGGUAAGGUAACGGCUUACCAAGGCAACGAUGGAUAGCCGACCUGAGAGGGGGAUCGGCCACACUGGAACGAGAGGACGGUCCAGAACCCUGCGGGAGGGAGAAGUAGGGGAUCUUCCCGAAAGGGAGAAAUGCUGAAGGGGCAACGCCGCGUGAGUGCAUGAGGUAUUAGGAUCGGAAAACUCUGUUAUUAGGGAAGGACGUAAAGCUAAGUAACUGGGGACAUCAUGGAGGGUACCAAUAGAAAAAGCACCGGUAAAUUCCUU
This 497-nucleotide ribosomal RNA is filed under the name uncultured bacterium. Its description in RNAcentral is "partial 16S ribosomal RNA". It matches the Rfam family "Bacterial small subunit ribosomal RNA", at positions 28 to 506 of the family's 1533-position model. The record is from RNAcentral.